AAUGUCGGGCAGCUUUUGGGAGAAAAGAUGGAAGAAAAACCGAGAGGAAAUAAGAGGAAGAACAAGAAAAACUCUAGUUGUGUGCAACUCAUCCAACAAGCUUGGGAGUUAGAGCAAAAGAAAGCUAAGGAACUUGGUUCUUGAAGUGCAACCUUGUGAACCAACCUUUGGAAGGUAAAGUAGCCUUGAACUCUUGUAAAAGCUUGUAGCAAUUGAGUAGAAAUGUUGAUUUUGAUGUUGUAAGAUGCUAAUAAGGGUUAAUGAUGGUUUAUAUAUCACUUUUGUGGGUUUGUGUGGAGGAUUUGGUGAUUUCUAUGGUGGUUUGAGAAAAUUCCAGCAAGUGAUACAAAUUUUCAGUUUUAAUGCUGAAAUUAUCCUGUUUCUGACCGUGUCUUUUAGUCCAUGUUAGAGGCUGAAUUAGCCUUAGCUCAGAACAUGAAAGUUGUAGGGAAUGAUAUUUUAUAGCUGCCUAUAAAAUUUCAGCUCAAUCCGAGCACUGUAGCACGUGCAAAGACAUAAUACCCCUGACUGCCAUAGGUAGAGCUUUGUGGCCAGUUUUGACAUUUCACCAAUCUGACCGCGUCUGUUCACCCUGAUCUAUACUGAAUUAGCAUUUGGCCAAAACACAGAAGUUAUAGUUCUAUGUCUUAGUUUUCCAACGCCCCUGAAAACGCCUUAAUCGGACUUCGGUAGCCUGAGUUAUUAUUGUUUACGCAUAGUGCGGUUAACUAGCUCGAAUGUGAGAUUCUGGUUCUGAAAUUUGAAAUUUUGACCUGGAUACACUACGAACUGGACUGAGUGGUCUUCAUCAAAGUUGUAGGCCUUUGUCUUAGCUUCGUAAUGGUAUAAAUUUCACCCCAAUCUGAUGAUCGUAGCUUUGGUUGUGUCCGUUCCGCUGAGCGAUGUCAAAUCUGUCUUUUGUUUUAUGAUUUAAACUUUCUUUCCGGACAUUUUCCUAGCUUGAUUGUGUACUUAUAUGACAUUGAGCCUAUUGAACGGCUAUUGAAAUGAGAUUAUUUUGUGUGUGACUUUGGGACGGAUUUGAGGAAAAUAUUGAAGCCAUAAAUGGCUGGAAAAUAGGUAAACACAAGGGGCAUGCCGCCAAAUUUUCACUAGAGGACUAAACUAGCCUUUGGCAUUCUAGUUCUGUAUUUUGCAAAUUUGUCUUGGAUACACUGAAAACUGGGUUGAAAUGUCUUCAUGAAAGUUGUAACCUUUUGUCUAAGUUUCGAGACACUACCUAAUACAUUUUGAUCCGAUAACCACAGCUCCAGUUAUGGCUAAAAUCGUAUAACCCGUUUUGUACCGUUUUCAUUUUCGCGCACGCGCACGUGCAUUUCUCAACCGGUUUUGCCGUUUCGGACCAUUUAGGACUAUUUUUGUUAUUUUGUUACCAUUCCGGCCGUUUCAGCCGAUUUCGACAUUCUUUUGGCCUUAAUGUCAUUUUUGACCGUUUUUUAUUAUUUUUGACCGUUUCCGAUCGUUUAAGUUCUAAAUUGCUAUUGUAUGGCCGUUUCACUUAUGUGUGUAUAUAAUCUGUCAAUACAGACUGUGAGGCUUUUGACGGUGACGUCAAGCUCAGUGAAUUGUAUAAUUUUUCGUGCCAAGCUUUAUCAAGUGAGUAAUUGCGUUGUUAUUGAUGUGAAAUUGUUAAAGUGCUUUGUAUAUGUUAAAUGGGUACUUAGGUGAGGGUGUACUUUAUCCCACUCGACCUAAGCCCAUCCUUUGUUUUGAUUUCAUAUGUGAGAAUACAUGCCUUAUGUUGCGUAUCACCCUUUUGUUGAGUGCUGAUGGGGGUGAUUACAUGACUUGAAUUAAACCCUUUUUUUGAUGUGUGCUGUUAGGGUAAGUACUUUGCUGUGUACUUUGUUAAGAGAUAUCAUCUAUUGAGAGAUUGGAUAUUUCAGGGCUUGGUUCCAGCCCGGUUCCAAGGGUAGACGAACUAUUCGAGUCAGCGGGGGCUUGGUCGAAGAUAGUUCCAUGCUAAACUUGGGAUUUAGUUCUUUGUUAAAGCUUUGAUUAAAGCUAAGUGAUUUUGUUUCGUUCGAGCUGCUGUUCGCUGUUGACUGGCCAGCGGGGGUUGAUAAGGUGAACGGGAAAAGUUAAGUGGAGUCUACGGUCUAUGAGUACUUUGGUUGACGGAGUGUCAACAGGCGUUCAAGCUCGGGGAAUUGAAUUGGCUUUGGAGCCACCUGUAUCCUACCAUUGUGAUGUUACCUUUCUGUUGUUGAUGUGAAAUAUCCUGAUUUACUUGUUUAUUGGAUGUGAUUUUACAUUUUUCCCCCUGAUUAUUCACUAAGCAUAUAGCUUACCCAUUCCAUUUGUUUUCCUUAGCAGGGGGUACGAGCGGCGCGUGAGACUUGUACAGAGUAGUCUAGUUUUGAAUUUUGAAUGGUACUCGCGCUAGCACUCGACUAGGGUUGAUUGGACUCGGACUGUAAACACGUUAAUGUAUUUGGGUGUGUAUAAGCUUUGUAGCUGGAUCUGAGCAUCAAUGUAUAUAUUAAGUUUGAACUUGUGGUGUUA
Molecule: long non-coding RNA, 2526 nt
Filed under: Coffea arabica (coffee)
Lineage: Eukaryota; Viridiplantae; Streptophyta; Magnoliopsida; Gentianales; Rubiaceae
Description: long non-coding RNA (CARA_LNC006589)
Source: RNAcentral